This 420-nucleotide ribosomal RNA is filed under the name uncultured bacterium. Its description in RNAcentral is "bacterial SSU rRNA". It matches the Rfam family "Bacterial small subunit ribosomal RNA", at positions 356 to 773 of the family's 1533-position model. The record is from RNAcentral.
AGGGAAUAUUGGGCAAUGGAUGCAAGUCUGACCCAGCCAUUCCGCGUGCCGGAUGAAGGCCCUCUGGGUCGUAAACGGCUUUUGAAUGGGAAGAAUAGUCACCAUGCGUGGUGAAGUGACGGUACCAUUCGAAUAAGCACCGGCUAACUCCGUGCCAGCAGCCGCGGUAAUACGGAGGGUGCGAGCGUUGUCCGGAUUUAUUGGGUUUAAAGGGUGCGUAGGUGGUUUAAUAAGUCAGUGGUGAAAUCCGGUCGCUUAACGAUCGAUGUGCCAUUGAUACUGUUUAACUUGGAUAUGUUGGAGGUUGCCGGAAUGGGUGGUGUAGCGGUGAAAUGCAUAGAGAUCACCCAGAACGCCAAUUGCGAAGGCAGGUGACUACGACAUUAUCGACACUGAGGCACGAAAGCAUGGGUAGCGAAC